Molecule: ribosomal RNA, 453 nt
Filed under: Triticum aestivum (bread wheat)
Lineage: Eukaryota; Viridiplantae; Streptophyta; Magnoliopsida; Poales; Poaceae
Description: partial small subunit ribosomal RNA
Source: RNAcentral
AUGGCAUUGGCGGGCCUGGAGCUGCGGUUCCCCAGGGCGCUCGACCCCCGCCCGAGCUGGACGCUCGGCGACGUCCUCACCGACGCACUCGACGCCACCCGCAGCUCGGUGCCGCCCAUGCCCCUCAAGCAGCCGCCUGAGUGGGCUAGCACUGGCAACAUGGGGGAGAAGGCCUUUGUGAUGCGGGUUGAGGAGGAAGACCACUCGGAAGAGGAAGACAAUACCAGUGAUGACGAUGCUGGGGCUCUUGUGACCACAGGGGCGAGGUUCUCAUGUAACGAUCUCGAAUCCGGAUUUGAAGAUUCUGGAGAUGAAAUAAAUUGCAGCAGUACACCAUAUCACCUGAUGGAGAAAAGGAGCCUAGAGAAGAGCAUUCUGCUUGAGCUGGAACUUGAGCAUCAUCUGAAAAUUCAAAAGGAAGCUAUCUUCAUUGGAGGUAUGCCAUCAAAAUGA